RNAcentral lists this ribosomal RNA (656 nucleotides) under Streptomycetaceae bacterium. RNAcentral's name for it is "bacterial SSU rRNA". It matches the Rfam family "Bacterial small subunit ribosomal RNA", at positions 147 to 817 of the family's 1533-position model. The record is from RNAcentral. Lineage: Bacteria; Bacillati; Actinomycetota; Actinomycetes; Kitasatosporales; Streptomycetaceae.
GCCCUGGAAACGGGGUCUAAUACCGGAUAACACCCGCCGAGGCAUCUCGGUGGGUUGAAAGCUCCGGCGGUGCAGGAUGAGCCCGCGGCCUAUCAGCUUGUUGGUGGGGUGAUGGCCUACCAAGGCGACGACGGGUAGCCGGCCUGAGAGGGCGACCGGCCACACUGGGACUGAGACACGGCCCAGACUCCUACGGGAGGCAGCAGUGGGGAAUAUUGCACAAUGGGCGAAAGCCUGAUGCAGCGACGCCGCGUGAGGGAUGACGGCCUUCGGGUUGUAAACCUCUUUCAGCAGGGAAGAAGCGAAAGUGACGGUACCUGCAGAAGAAGCGCCGGCUAACUACGUGCCAGCAGCCGCGGUAAUACGUAGGGCGCAAGCGUUGUCCGGAAUUAUUGGGCGUAAAGAGCUCGUAGGCGGCUUGUCGCGUCGGAUGUGAAAGCUCGGGGCUUAACCCCGGGUCUGCAUUCGAUACGGGCAGGCUAGAGUGUGGUAGGGGAGAUCGGAAUUCCUGGUGUAGCGGUGAAAUGCGCAGAUAUCAGGAGGAACACCGGUGGCGAAGGCGGAUCUCUGGGCCAUUACUGACGCUGAGGAGCGAAAGCGUGGGGAGCGAACAGGAUUAGAUACCCUGGUAGUCCACGCCGUAAACGUUGGGAACU